CGAGCGAACAGACGAGGAGCUUGCUCCUCUGACGUUAGCGGCGGACGGGUGAGUAACACGUGGAUAACCUACCUAUAAGACUGGGAUAACUUCGGGAAACCGGAGCUAAUACCGGAUAAUAUAUUGAACCGCAUGGUUCAAUAGUGAAAGACGGUUUUGCUGUCACUUAUAGAUGGAUCCGCGCCGCAUUAGCUAGUUGGUAAGGUAACGGCUUACCAAGGCAACGAUGCGUAGCCGACCUGAGAGGGUGAUCGGCCACACUGGAACUGAGACACGGUCCAGACUCCUACGGGAGGCAGCAGUAGGGAAUCUUCCGCAAUGGGCGAAAGCCUGACGGAGCAACGCCGCGUGAGUGAUGAAGGUCUUCGGAUCGUAAAACUCUGUUAUUAGGGAAGAACAAAUGUGUAAGUAACUAUGCACGUCUUGACGGUACCUAAUCAGAAAGCCACGGCUAACUACGUGCCAGCAGCCGCGGUAAUACGUAGGUGGCAAGCGUAAUCCGGAAUUAUUGGGCGUAAAGCGCGCGUAGGCGGUUUUUUAAGUCUGAUGUGAAAGCCCACGGCUCAA
This 567-nucleotide ribosomal RNA is filed under the name Staphylococcus sp. G2O39(A). RNAcentral describes it as "bacterial SSU rRNA". It matches the Rfam family "Bacterial small subunit ribosomal RNA", at positions 63 to 612 of the family's 1533-position model. Lineage: Bacteria; Bacillati; Bacillota; Bacilli; Caryophanales; Staphylococcaceae. The record is from RNAcentral.